Molecule: long non-coding RNA, 1469 nt
Filed under: Anolis carolinensis (green anole)
Lineage: Eukaryota; Metazoa; Chordata; Lepidosauria; Squamata; Anolidae
Description: lncRNA (ENSACAG00000037350.1)
Source: RNAcentral
GUCAACAUCCAUAGCAUGAAAAACUCAGCUUCAGCCAAUCUCUCCAUGUUGUUCUUCUUGAGUAUUGUUGAGUAUUGGUUUGCUUUCCCAAUCGACACUGAGAGAUUACUUGAGACAACAGCAAUUCUAGGACGCCCUUAAUAUGCAGCCGCUGUGCAUUAAGAGCUGACGACUGAAGGUGACCUAUUGGAAGUCUUGUAAGAUUUGCCUUUAUUCCCUCCCCCUCAGUUUUCCUUUUUAUUAAAGGUCAAGCGCGCCUGGCCACAGAUUAUCCAGCUAUCUAAGACCUCCCUGCAAUCUGUCAUGCCGGCAAGAUAUGUAUCACAAAUCUCUCGAAAUAUAAUCUUUUGGAAUCAUAUUCUGAAUACUGUUUUGAUUAAAAAUCAGAGCUCGGACUGAUGCGAAACUAAUAGGAAAAGGACUAAGAGUGCGGCGAGGGGAGGCCCUCGGAUGCAAUAAUGAAAAUAAACUAAUGGGCUCAGCCAGAUUGGUCUCUUUAAGAGAGAAAGAAUCCCGGUCAUUAAAAUGCAAUGAUUGAAAUGUGUCAGGAUGGAAAGUUCAUUCUUAAAUAUCAGGUUUUGAUGCCGAAAAAGAGCAUAGGUUCUUUCUUCUUCCAACCUGCUAUCUCCACUGAUGGGGCUUGUUUACUCCAGAAACAAUGAGUCCUGAAACAAAAGGAACUUUUAGGGGAUGAUCCUGCUAGGCUGUAUGGCCAUGUUCCAGAAGCAUUCUCUCCUGACGUUUCACCCACAUCUAUGGCAGGCAUCCUCAGAGGUUGUGAGGUAUGGAAAAACUAGGCAAGGAAGGUUUAUAUAUAUGUGCAAGGUCCAGGGUGGGGGAAAAAACUCUUGUCUGUUGGAGGCCAGUGAGAAUGUUGUAAUUAAUCACAUUGAUUGGCAUUAAAGGGCCUUGCAAGCUUCAUGUCCUGUCCUGGGGGAAUCCUUUGUUCAGAGUCGUUAUCUGCCCCUGAUUGAUUCAUGUCUGGAAUUCCUCUGUUUUCAGAGUGUUGUUCCUUAUUUACUGUUCUAAUUUUAGAGGUUUUUUUAAAUACUAGUAGCCAGAUUGUGUUCAUUUUCAUGGUUUCCUCCUUUCUGUUGAAAGUGUCCAUCUGCUUGUGGAUUUCAAUGGCUUCUCUGUGCAGUCUGACAUGAUAGUUGUUAGAGUGGUCCAGCAAUUCUACGUUCUUAAAUAAUAUGCGGUGUCCAGGUUGGUUCAUCAGGCGCCUUCGACAACACACAGAAUUUAUACAUAUUUGUGCAUCACCAAACCAGCAGCUGAAAUGCUUCACAUUGAAAGAAGUACAGUAGUGUCUCGCUUAUCCAACGUAAACGGGCCAGCAGAACGUUGGAUGAGCGAAUAUGUUGGAUAAUAAGGAGAGAUUAAGGAAAAGCCUAUUAAACAUCAAAUUAGGUUAUGAUUUUACAAAUUAAGUACCAAAACAUCAUGUCAUACAACAAAUUUGACAGAAA